GAUGAACGCUGGCGGCGUGCCUAAUACAUGCAAGUCGAGCGAACGGACGAGAAGCUUGCUUCUCUGAUGUUAGCGGCGGACGGAUGAGUAACACGUGGAUAACCUACCUAUAAGACUGGGAUAACUUCGGGAAACCGGAGCUAAUACCGGAUAAUAUUUUGAACCGCAUGGUUCAAAAGUGAAAGACGGUCUUGCUGUCACUUAUAGAUGGAUCCGCGCUGCAUUAGCUAGUUGGUAAGGUAACGGCUUACCAAGGCAACGAUGCAUAGCCGACCUGAGAGGGUGACCGGCCACACGGGAACUGAGACACGGUCCAGACUCCUACGGGAGGAAGCAGUAGGGAAUCUUCCGCAAUGGGCGAAAGCCUGACGGAGCAACGCCGCGUGAGUGAUGAAGGUCUUCGGAUCGUAAAACUCUGUUAUUAGGGAAGAACAUAUGUGUAAGGAACUGUGCACAUCUUGACGGUACCUAAUCAGAAAGCCACGGCUAACUACGUG
This 497-nucleotide ribosomal RNA is filed under the name uncultured bacterium. Its description in RNAcentral is "partial 16S ribosomal RNA". It matches the Rfam family "Bacterial small subunit ribosomal RNA", at positions 28 to 507 of the family's 1533-position model. The record is from RNAcentral.